Molecule: ribosomal RNA, 486 nt
Filed under: uncultured bacterium
Lineage: Bacteria
Description: bacterial SSU rRNA
Rfam family: Bacterial small subunit ribosomal RNA
Source: RNAcentral
GACGAACGCUGGCGGCGUGCCUGACACAUGCAAGUCGAGGGGCAUCAAGGUACACGAAAGUGUAUUGUUGGCGACCGGCGGACGGGUGAGUAAUAGGUAGGUAACCUACCUCAUACUGAGGCAUAGCUGGGAGAAAUUCCAGGUAAUUCCUCAUGAGGUUAUAUGACACAUGUGAUAUAAUCAAAGGUAUCGCAAGGUACUGGUAUGAGAUGGGCUUACUGACCAUUAGCUAGUUGGUGAGAUAAGAGCUCACCAAGGCGAAGAUGGUUAGGGGUUUUGAGAGAGAGAUCCCCCACAUUGGAACUGAGAUACGGUCCAGACUCCUACGGGAGGCAGCAGUAGGGAAUAUUGGGCAAUGGGCGGAAGCCUGACCCAGCCAUGCCGCGUGAAGGAAGACGGCCUUAUGGGUUGUAAAACUUCUUUACUAUGCGACUAACUAGAUUUACGAGAUAAUUCUAUAGAAUGUAGCAUAGCAAAAAGCACCGG